This 516-nucleotide ribosomal RNA is filed under the name uncultured bacterium. Its description in RNAcentral is "bacterial SSU rRNA". It matches the Rfam family "Bacterial small subunit ribosomal RNA", at positions 28 to 532 of the family's 1533-position model. The record is from RNAcentral.
GAUGAACGCUAGCGAUAGGCCUAACACAUGCAAGUCGAGGGGCAUCACAUGAAGUAGCAAUACGGAUGGUGGCGACCGGCGCACGGGUGAGUAACACGUAUGCAACCUGCCUUCAACAAGGGGAUAACCCGUUGAAAGACGGACUAAUACCCUAUAACACAGGGGUCCCCAUGGGAAUAUUUGUUAAAGGACAACCGGUUGAAGAUGGGCAUGCGUUCCAUUAGCUAGUUGGCGGGUAACGCCCACCAAGGCAACGAUGGAUAGGGGAACUGAGAGGUUUAUCCCCCACACUGGUACUGAGACACGGACCAGACUCCUACGGGAGGCAGCAGUGAGGAAUAUUGGUCAAUGGACGCAAGUCUGAACCAGCCACGUCGCGUGAAGGAAGACGGCCCUACGGGUUGUAAACUUCUUUUAACGGGAAUAAAGUGCCCCACGCGUGGGGUUUUGCAAUGUACCGUAUGAAUAAGGAUCCGGCUAACUCCGUGCCAGCAGCCGCGGUUAAGUCACUAUCGA